This 492-nucleotide ribosomal RNA is filed under the name Theileria sergenti. Its description in RNAcentral is "SSU rRNA". It matches the Rfam family "Eukaryotic small subunit ribosomal RNA", at positions 457 to 989 of the family's 1831-position model. The record is from RNAcentral. Lineage: Eukaryota; Apicomplexa; Aconoidasida; Piroplasmida; Theileriidae.
CAGGGAGGUAGUGACAAGAAAUAACAAUACGGGGCUUAAUGUCUUGUAAUUGGAAUGAUGGGAAUUUAAACCUCUUCCAGAGUAUCAAUUGGAGGGCAAGUCUGGUGCCAGCAGCCGCGGUAAUUCCAGCUCCAAUAGCGUAUAUUAAAAUUGUUGCAGUUAAAAAGCUCGUAGUUGAAUUUCUGCUGCAUUACAUAUCUCUUGUUUGAGUUUGUUUUUGUGGCUUAUUUCGGUUUGAUUUUUUCUUUCCGGAUGAUUACUUUGAGAAAAUUAGAGUGCUCAAAGCAGGCUUUUGCCUUGAAUAGUUUAGCAUGGAAUAAUAAAGUAGGACUUUGGUUCUAUUUUGUUGGUUUUAGGUACCAAAGUAAUGGUUAAUAGGAACAGUUGGGGGCAUUCGUAUUUAACUGUCAGAGGUGAAAUUCUUAGAUUUGUUAAAGACGAACUACUGCGAAAGCAUUUGCCAAGGAUGUUUUCAUUAAUCAAGAACGAAAG